UACGAAGGGGGCUAGCGUUGCUCGGAAUCACUGGGCGUAAAGCGCACGUAGGCGGGUUGUUAAGUCAGGGGUGAAAUCCUGGAGCUCAACUCCAGAACUGCCUUUGAUACUGGCGAUCUUGAGUCCGGGAGAGGUGAGUGGAACUGCGAGUGUAGAGGUGAAAUUCGUAGAUAUUCGCAAGAACACCAGUGGCGAAGGCGGCUCACUGGCCCGGUACUGACGCUGAGGUGCGAAAGCGUGGGGAGCAAACAGG
RNAcentral lists this ribosomal RNA (253 nucleotides) under uncultured bacterium. RNAcentral describes it as "partial 16S ribosomal RNA". It matches the Rfam family "Bacterial small subunit ribosomal RNA", at positions 524 to 776 of the family's 1533-position model. The record is from RNAcentral.